Molecule: ribosomal RNA, 324 nt
Filed under: uncultured eukaryote
Lineage: Eukaryota
Description: partial 18S ribosomal RNA
Rfam family: Eukaryotic small subunit ribosomal RNA
Source: RNAcentral
CCCUUAGAUGUUCUGGGCUGCACGCGCGCUACACUGAAGCUAUCAACACGUUUUCCCUCCCUGAGAAGGGCGGGUAACCUUUUGAAUCAGCUUCGUGGUAGGGAUCGGGGCUCGCAAUUGUUCCCCGUGAACCAGGAAUUCCUAGUAGACGCGAGUCAUAAGCUCGCAUCGAUUAAGUCCCUGCCCUUUGUACACACCGCCCGUCGCUACUACCGAUUGAACGUUUUAGUGAGGCAUUUGGACCGACGCAUCUCAGUUUAACCGCUGGUUUGUGUUGGAAAGACUUCCAAACUUGAGCGUUUAGAGGAAGUAAAAGUCGUAACA